CCGAUGGAAAAUUCUUGGAGUCGGUAAAGUGGUUCCAAGUGGCGAUACUCUUUUAUGGUGGAGUAUGAUAAUUCUUGACGAUAAGAAUUAUGAUUGUCGGUAGCAGACAAUGUUGUGUUUUUUUUAUUUUAUUUUCAAGGUGGAGAUUGUUAGCCGCCGUUGUUGAAAACAAAAGAAAAAAAAAUAUAAAAAAAAAUUAGUUUUUGCUUAAUCCCACAUCGGGGAGAUAAGCAAAGUGAAGAUAGUGAUUUGGCUAUAAAAUGGAAGCAAUGUUUAGGUUUCCAUACACACCAAAACACACCAAAAAUACUUGAAUGUGUUUUAUAUUAGGGAUUUAGAGCAAGUCUCUU
RNAcentral lists this long non-coding RNA (350 nucleotides) under Jatropha curcas. RNAcentral's name for it is "long non-coding RNA (JCUR_LNC003277)". Lineage: Eukaryota; Viridiplantae; Streptophyta; Magnoliopsida; Malpighiales; Euphorbiaceae. The record is from RNAcentral.